GCCUGGGUGGCUCAGUCGGUUAAGCAUCUGACUUCAGCUCAGGUCAUGAUCUCAUGAUUCGUGGGUUCGAGCCCCGCAUCAGGCU
This 85-nucleotide transfer RNA is filed under the name Felis catus (domestic cat). It matches the Rfam family "tRNA". Rfam says of the family: Transfer RNA (tRNA) molecules are approximately 80 nucleotides in length. Their secondary structure includes four short double-helical elements and three loops (D, anti-codon, and T loops). Lineage: Eukaryota; Metazoa; Chordata; Mammalia; Carnivora; Felidae. The record is from Rfam by way of RNAcentral. RNAcentral also lists the same sequence under 3 other names.